This 72-nucleotide transfer RNA is filed under the name Mus musculus (house mouse). It matches the Rfam family "tRNA". Rfam says of the family: Transfer RNA (tRNA) molecules are approximately 80 nucleotides in length. The record is from Rfam by way of RNAcentral. Lineage: Eukaryota; Metazoa; Chordata; Mammalia; Rodentia; Muridae.
AGGGAUGUAGUUCAGUGGAUGAACACUUGCCUCGUAGGUUGGAGGCUCUAGGUUCAGUUCCUAGUGCCCCUU